RNAcentral lists this ribosomal RNA (869 nucleotides) under Fluminicola coronata (nom. inval.). Its description in RNAcentral is "LSU rRNA". It matches the Rfam family "Eukaryotic large subunit ribosomal RNA", at positions 63 to 966 of the family's 3401-position model. The record is from RNAcentral. Lineage: Eukaryota; Fungi; Ascomycota; Sordariomycetes; Papulosaceae.
AACCAACAGGGAUUGCCCUAGUAACGGCGCGUGAAGCGGCAACAGCUCAAAUUUGAAAUCUGGCCCUAGGCCCGAAUUGUAAUUUGUAGAGGAUGCUUUUCGUGCGGUGCCUUCUGAGUUCCCUGGAACGGGACGGCAAAGAGGGUGAGAGCCCCGUAUAGUCGGACACCAAGGCCUCUGUAAAGGUUCUUCGACGGAGUCGAGAAGUUCGGGAUUCUGCUCUCAAAUUGGGGGUUAAAUCUCUCUUAAAGCUAAAUACCGGCUAGAGACCGAUAGCGCACAAGUAGAGUGACCGAAAGAUGAAAAGCACUUUGAAAAGAGGGUUAAACAGCACGUGAAAUUGUUGAAAGGGAAGCGCUUGUGACCAGACUUGCGCCCGGUUGAUCAUCCAGCGUUCUCGCUGGUGCACUCUGCCGGGCUCAGGCCAGCAUCGGUUCUCGCGGGGGGAUAAAAGCUUCGGGAAUGUAGCUCCCUCGGGAGUGUUAUAGCCCGCUGCAGAAUACCCUCGCGGGGACCGAGGUUCGCGCUCCGCAAGGAUAAGGUAAACCAGUAAAGCUACUAGGUGGUUAAGAGGCUGCGAGUCGCAGCCUAGGCUUUGGGUGUAAAACCCGCACGCGUAAUGAAAGUGAAUGUAGGUGAGAGCUUCGGCGCAUCAUCGACCGAUCCUGAUGUAUUCGGAUGGAUUUGAGUAAGAGCCUUACCGCUUGGACCCGAAAGAUGGUGAACUAUGCAUGAAUAGGGUGAAGCCAGAGGAAACUCUGGUGGAGGCUCGCAGCGGUUCUGACGUGCAAAUCGAUCGUCAAAUUUGUGCAUGGGGGCGAAAGACUAAUCGGAACCAUUAAAAGUGAAAGGAUAGGUAAUCCAGUAAA